RNAcentral lists this ribosomal RNA (253 nucleotides) under uncultured bacterium. Its description in RNAcentral is "partial 16S ribosomal RNA". It matches the Rfam family "Bacterial small subunit ribosomal RNA", at positions 524 to 776 of the family's 1533-position model. The record is from RNAcentral.
UACGUAGGGGGCAAGCGUUGUCCGGAUUUAUUGGGCGUAAAGAGCGUGUAGGCGGCCAGACAGGUCCGUUGUGAAAACUCGAGGCUCAACCUCGAGACGUCGAUGGAAACCGUCUGGCUAGAGUCCGGAAGAGGAGAGUGGAAUUCCUGGUGUAGCGGUGAAAUGCGUAGAUAUCAGGAGGAACACCUGUGGCGAAAGCGGCUCACUGGACCAUAACUGACGCUGAUGCACGAAAGCUAGGGGAGCAAACAGG